UACGUAGGGUGCAAGCGUUGUCCGGAAUUAUUGGGCGUAAAGAGCUCGUAGGCGGUUUGUUGCGUCGGCUGUGAAAUCCCGAGGCUCAACCUCGGGUCUGCAGUCGAUACGAGCAAACUAGAGUGUUGCAUGGGAGACUGGAAUUCCUGGUGUAGCGGUGAAAUGCGCAGAUAUCAGGAGGAACACCGGUGGCGAAGGCGGGUCUCUGGGCCGUAACUGACGCUGAGGAGCGAAAGCAUGGGGAGCGAACAGG
RNAcentral lists this ribosomal RNA (253 nucleotides) under uncultured bacterium. RNAcentral describes it as "partial 16S ribosomal RNA". It matches the Rfam family "Bacterial small subunit ribosomal RNA", at positions 524 to 776 of the family's 1533-position model. The record is from RNAcentral.